RNAcentral lists this ribosomal RNA (280 nucleotides) under uncultured bacterium. RNAcentral's name for it is "partial 16S ribosomal RNA". It matches the Rfam family "Bacterial small subunit ribosomal RNA", at positions 506 to 784 of the family's 1533-position model. The record is from RNAcentral.
UGCCAGCCGCCGCGGUAAUAUGGACGGUGCAUGCGUUGUUCGGAAUUACUGGGCGUGAAGCGCGCGUAGGCGGCUUUUUAAGUCAGAUGUGAAAGUCCACGGCUCAACCGUGGAAGUGCAUUUGAAACUGGGAGGCUUGAGUAUUGGAGGGGGUGGUGGAAUUCCCGGUGUAGAGGUGAAAUUCGUAGAUAUCGGGAGGAAUACCGGUGGCGAAGGCAACUUAUCUGGUUUAUAACUGACGCUGAGGCACAAAGGUACAGCCAGCAAACAGGGUUAGAUA